GACGAACGCUGGCGGCGUGCUUAACACAUGCAAGUCGAACGGAAAGGCCCUGCUUUUGUGGGGUGCUCGAGUGGCGAACGGGUGAGUAACACGUGAGUAACCUGCCCUUGACUUUGGGAUAACUUCAGGAAACUGGGGCUAAUACCGGAUAGGAGCUCCUGCUGCAUGGUGGGGGUUGGAAAGUUUCGGCGGUUGGGGAUGGACUCGCGGCUUAUCAGCUUGUUGGUGGGGUAGUGGCUUACCAAGGCUUUGACGGGUAGCCGGCCUGAGAGGGUGACCGGCCACAUUGGGACUGAGAUACGGCCAAGACUCCUACGGGAGGCAGCAGUGGGGAAUAUUGCACAAUGGGCGGAAGGCUGAUGCAGCAACGCCGCGUGCGGGAUGACGGCCUUCGGGUUGUAAACCGCUUUCGCCUGUGACGAAGCGUGAGUGACGGUAAUGGGUAAAGAAGCACCGGCUAACUACGU
Molecule: ribosomal RNA, 467 nt
Filed under: uncultured bacterium
Lineage: Bacteria
Description: partial 16S ribosomal RNA
Rfam family: Bacterial small subunit ribosomal RNA
Source: RNAcentral